This 253-nucleotide ribosomal RNA is filed under the name uncultured bacterium. RNAcentral's name for it is "partial 16S ribosomal RNA". It matches the Rfam family "Bacterial small subunit ribosomal RNA", at positions 524 to 776 of the family's 1533-position model. The record is from RNAcentral.
UACGUAGGGUGCAAGCGUUGUCCGGAAUUAUUGGGCGUAAAGAGCUCGUAGGCGGUCUGUCGCGUCUGCUGUGAAAACUCGGGGCUUAACCCCGGGCCUGCAGUGGGUACGGGCAGACUAGAGUGCGGUAGGGGAGACUGGAAUUCCUGGUGUAGCGGUGAAAUGCGCAGAUAUCAGGAGGAACACCGGUGGCGAAGGCGGGUCUCUGGGCCUUACCUGACGCUCAGGCGCGAAAGCUAGGGGAGCGAACAGG